RNAcentral lists this long non-coding RNA (1404 nucleotides) under Sus scrofa (pig). Its description in RNAcentral is "lncRNA (ENSSSCG00045010785.1)". The record is from RNAcentral. Lineage: Eukaryota; Metazoa; Chordata; Mammalia; Artiodactyla; Suidae.
CGAAACCUCAGAGUUCCUAAUCAGAUUCAUUUCCUCCGCACCACAACAGGAACUCGGCUUGUUGCUUUUUAGCACUCAGUAAUAUUCCAUUUUAUAGAUGUACCACAGUUUUUCCAUUUGCCUAUUGAAGAACAUCUUAGCUGCUUUGAGGUUUUAGGAAUCAUGAGUAAAGUUGCUAUAAACAUCCAAGUGCCGAUUCCUGUGUUUUCAGCUUCUUUGGGUAAAAGUCAAAGUGAUUUCUGAAUUAUAUGGUAAGAAGUUUAGGUUGNNNNNNNNNNNNNNNNNNNNNNNNNGGGCACACCUGCAGUAUAUGGAGAUUCCCAGGCUAGGGAUCGAAUAGGAGCUGCAGCUGCCGGCCUAUACCACAGCCAUAGCAACUCAGGAUCCAGGCUGAGUCUGUGACCUAUACCACAGCUCAUGGCAACACCAGAUCCCUGACCCACUGAUCGAGGGAAGGGAUCAAACUCACAUCCUCAUGGAUGCUAGUUGGAUUCAUUUCCACUGCACCAAAAUGGGAACUCCUAACUAUAUUUUCUUAAAGCAGUUUUCUGAUUCCUUCUUUGCCGUUUUCUAAUCUUUGGGGGGGUAGCAUAGUUCAGUUCGUGCAAGAUCAUAUCUGGACCAGACUGCUUGAAUCCAAACCCAGCUCUACUGCAUUAUGUGCUCUGUGACCUUCGUUUCCCUGAGCCAUGACAGGAGCUCCAGAAGUUUAGUUUUGUAAGAAAAUGUGAAACUGUCUUCCAAAGUGGCCAUAUACUACUUUCAUCCCCACUAGCAAAGUGGAUGCUCUGCAUCCUUGUCAGCAUUUGGUGUUUUCAGUGUUCUGGGUUUCUGCCAUUCUAAUAGGUGAAUAGUGGUCUCUCGUUGUUUUAAUUUGCUUUUCUCUGUUGACAUAUGUUGUGGAGGAUCUUUUCACAUGCUUAUCUGCCAUCUGCAUAUUUUUUUGGUUUGAUUUUGAUUUCAAAGGACGUGAUGAUAAACCAGUCUCAGUCCGGGCUUCUCUUGGUUCGCUCCAGCCUUGGAUGGGCUUUUCCCCUCACAUCCCAAGAUGACUACCGGAAGUUUCAGAAAUGAUGCUGAGGUUGCCAUCCUGACAUCAUGAGAUGACAAGCACGAACAAAAAUUACGCAUGAAAGCUGGAAAAACAGAAGGAGCAUAAGACUAAAUAAAUCAAUUGUGGCAUUGCUGUGUUAGUAAGAAGAAUAAAUUCCUUCCUUGUUUCAGUCAUUCUAUGGCAGGUUUUUUGUUGUUGUUGUUGUUAAUUAUAACCAAGUACAAUCUCAACAGAUACAGACUUUCUCUGUUAAUGGACCAAGCCCACUAUGGUAAAUCUCUGAUCUGUCUUCCUGACCUUCAGGACCAGGCUCAGUUUUAGAAUGCAUUUUUCUUUUUAUGGCCACACCU